This 492-nucleotide ribosomal RNA is filed under the name uncultured bacterium. RNAcentral's name for it is "partial 16S ribosomal RNA". It matches the Rfam family "Bacterial small subunit ribosomal RNA", at positions 28 to 507 of the family's 1533-position model. The record is from RNAcentral.
GACGAACGCUGGCGGCGUGCUUAACACAUGCAAGUCGAACGGUGAAGCGCCUUCCUUUUUGGUGGGUGUGUGAGUGGGGAAAACGGGUGUGACACACGUGUGUAACCUGCCCUCUUCUUCUGGAACCCCGCAUGAAAGUGGGUCUUAUGCGGGAUUUUCUGUCUGUGUCUUAUGGUGGGUCUGGGAGAUAUUUUUUUUCUGGGGGGGGUGGUCGCGGGGUCUCUGCGUGUUGGGGGGGUGUUGGCCUAUCAAGGGGGUGACGGGUAGACGGCAUGAGAGGGUGGACGGUCACACUGGGGCUGAGACACGGACCAGACUCCUACGGGAGGCAGCAGGGGGGAAUAUUGCACAAUGGGCGCAAGCCUGAUGCAGCGACGCCGCGUGAGGGAUGGAGGCCUUCGGGUUGUGAACCUCUUUCGCCAGUGAAGCAGGCCUGCCUCGUUUGUGGGUGGGUUGACGGUAGCUGGAUAAGAAGCGCCGGCUAACUACGUG